GUGCCAGCCGCGGCGGUAAUACGUAGGUCCCGAGCGUUGUCCGGAUUUAUUGGGCGUAAAGCGAGCGCAGGUGGUUUAUUAAGUCUGGUGUAAAAGGCAGUGGCUCAACCAUUGUAUGCAUUGGAAACUGGUAGACUUGAGUGCAGGAGAGGAGAGUGGAAUUCCAUGUGUAGCGGUGAAAUGCGUAGAUAUAUGGAGGAACACCGGUGGCGAAAGCGGCUCUCUGGCCUGUAACUGACACUGAGGCUCGAAAGCGUGGGGGAGCAAACAGGAUUAGAUACCCUGGUAGUCCACGCCGUAAAACGAUGAGUGCUAGAUGUAGGGAGCUAUAAAGUUCUCUGUAUCGCAGCUAACGCAAUAAGCACUCCGCCUGGGGGAGUACGACCGCAAGGUUG
Molecule: ribosomal RNA, 395 nt
Filed under: uncultured bacterium
Lineage: Bacteria
Description: bacterial SSU rRNA
Rfam family: Bacterial small subunit ribosomal RNA
Source: RNAcentral